Molecule: ribosomal RNA, 207 nt
Filed under: uncultured bacterium
Lineage: Bacteria
Description: partial 16S ribosomal RNA
Rfam family: Bacterial small subunit ribosomal RNA
Source: RNAcentral
CACGUAGGCGGCUUGGCAAGUCGGAUGUGAAAUCCCUCGGCUCAACCAAGGAAGUGCAUCCGAAACUGCCGAGCUUGAGUACUUAAGAGGAUCGCGGAAUUCCCGGUGUAGAGGUGAAAUUCGUAGAUAUCGGGAGGAACACCAGUGGCGAAGGCGGCGAUCUGGGAAGAUACUGACGCUGAGGUGCGAAAGCUAGGGGAGCAAACA